GCGGGUGUAACUCAGUUGGUAGAGUUCUAGCUUCCCAAGCUAGUUGUCGCGAGUUCGAAUCUCGUCGCCCGCUCCA
Molecule: transfer RNA, 76 nt
Filed under: Gammaproteobacteria bacterium
Lineage: Bacteria; Pseudomonadati; Pseudomonadota; Gammaproteobacteria
Description: tRNA-Gly
Rfam family: tRNA
About the family: Transfer RNA (tRNA) molecules are approximately 80 nucleotides in length. Their secondary structure includes four short double-helical elements and three loops (D, anti-codon, and T loops). Further hydrogen bonds mediate the characteristic L-shaped molecular structure. tRNAs have two regions of fundamental functional importance: the anti-codon, which is responsible for specific mRNA codon recognition, and the 3' end, to which the tRNAs corresponding amino acid is attached (by aminoacyl-tRNA synthetases). tRNAs cope with the degeneracy of the genetic code in two manners: having more than one tRNA (with a specific anti-codon) for a particular amino acid; and 'wobble' base-pairing, i.e. permitting non-standard base-pairing at the 3rd anti-codon position.
Source: RNAcentral